AAAAACGAACAGUCUCAGUUCGGAUUGAAGGCUGAAAUUUGCCUUCAUGAAGCCGGAAUUGCUAGUAAUGGCAGGUCAGCAUACUGCCGUGAAUACGUUCCCGGGCCUUGUACACACCGCCCGUCACACCAUGAGAGUUGGGGAUACCCGAAGCCUGUGAGCUAACUUUUAGAGGCAGCAGUCGAAGGUAGAAUCAAUGAUUGGGGUGAAGUCGUAACAAGGUACC
RNAcentral lists this ribosomal RNA (226 nucleotides) under uncultured bacterium. RNAcentral's name for it is "partial 16S ribosomal RNA". It matches the Rfam family "Bacterial small subunit ribosomal RNA", at positions 1276 to 1500 of the family's 1533-position model. The record is from RNAcentral.